GCGAGUGAGGCCUGACGCCCGGCCAGGAAGCCGAGUGGUCCGGUAGCGUCAGCCCCGCCUGCGCUGACUCAGCUCUUCCGGUGGAGUCAGCGGUGGUUCCCGACUGCCUGGGUGGUGCGGGCGGCGAGCGUCACAGCGCAGUAAAGCGCCCCGGCCGCCCCUCCUGGCAGGCCGAGCUCUGGCCUCGCGGUGACUCAGCCGCUUCCGCUCCCUACGGCCCGGCGGAGCUCCGGCCGCUGCCGCGACGCGCUUCCGUCAGCCCCGAAAGGGAUUAACAGCUUCAGAGAGAAGAAGGGAGAGAAGAAGGAAGAGAGAAAGAAACAUUGAUGCAAGAGAGAAGCAUCAAUCAAUUGCUUACAGUAGGUGUCCAGACCAGGGAUUAUAUGUGCCCUGACCAGGGAUUGAACCCACAACCCAGUUUUGCUUCCUCUGAGUUGACUUCAUUCCCAGGCAGCCUCUCCCUAUGUGGUAACGAAGAUGGCCAACAGCAGCUCCACGUUACAUUCUACCAAAUUAUUAACCGCAGCAGAGAGUGCUUCUCUUCUGAGAGCUCCAGUCACAUUCCCAGUAUUAUUUACAGUCAUCAAGAUUUGGAAGCAGCUCAAGUAUCUAUCAGUAGAUGAAUGGAUAAACCAGCUAUGGUACAUUUACACAAUGGAAUACUACGCAGCCAUAAAACAGAAGAAAACUUGACUCUUUGCAACUGCAUGAAUGGACCUGGAGAACAUUAUGCUAAGUGAAAUAAGCCAGCCAGAGAAAGACAAAUACCAUAUGAUUUCACUCAUAUGUGGAAUCUGUUGAACAAACUGAACUAACAAGGAAAAUGGGGAUAGACUCAUAGACAGAGAGCAGGCUGACAGCUGUGGGAUGGGGGUUGUGGGGGUUGUGGAGGGAUCAAGCAAAAAAGAAAAAGAACUCAUGGACAUAGACG
This is a long non-coding RNA of Artibeus jamaicensis (Jamaican fruit-eating bat), 931 nucleotides long. RefSeq lists it as uncharacterized. The transcript is spliced from 4 exons. Lineage: Eukaryota; Metazoa; Chordata; Mammalia; Chiroptera; Phyllostomidae. The record is from RefSeq and is a predicted model, not a curated record.